Eriocheir sinensis (Chinese mitten crab) is the source of this 2211-nucleotide long non-coding RNA. RefSeq lists it as uncharacterized. The record is from RefSeq and is a predicted model, not a curated record. The transcript is spliced from 3 exons. NCBI's taxonomy places the organism in Eukaryota, Metazoa, Arthropoda, Malacostraca, Decapoda, Varunidae.
GGAGUAGACUGGGGAGGGGCUAUGGGGUUGGGGAAGAAAUGGGGAUUGGGGUCGUCUUGGGGGAGGAGUAGGAGGAUGGGGAGAGUGGGGAGAGGAGACCAAACCAUGGAGAAGGGUUGGGGAAUGCUGGGGUAGGAAUGGGGAGGAUGGGGAAGAAGAUGGAGGUUGGGGAAGAAAGGGUGGGGAUUGGGGUCGCCGUGGGGGUGGGGUAGGAGGGUGAGAAGGAGUGUAAGUAGGGGAGGAGCCAUGGGGGUGAUGGGGAAGGUAAGGGGAGGGUGGGGAGGAAUGAGGGAGGUAAGGGGAGGGUGGGGAGGAAUGGAGAAGGCGUGGGGAGGAAGUUGGGGAGGAGUCGAUCAUGUCUAUCUCAUCCCACACAUCCUUCAGUUCAUUCCUCACCUCAUCCCACAACUGUUCCCCAACGCUUCUCCUCCCCACGGCCUCCCCUUCAGUUGGGGAGGAGAUGGGGAAGGGGGAGGAGGUGGGGAUGGAGGAGCUACCCAUCACCCUCUCCUCCCCUUUCUUCCCAUUCCUACAGCUCUCCCCAUCUCCCCUUCCCCUCACUUCCCCAACUGCAUAAGAUGGGGAUUGGUGGGGAAGGGAAGGGGGGAGGGACCGCGUCUGGGCAAGGAGGCGGUUGUGGUAUGGGGAAGAGGUGGGGAUUGAGGUAGGGGAGGAAGGGGAAUAUGAGGUAGUGUAGGGAAGGGGGGAGUUGGGGAGAGCAUAUGGAGGUGGGGAGGAAGGGGAGGAGGGGAUGGGGAAAGAAGAGGAGGAAGGGGGAGGGGUGGGGAGGGAGUAAUGGGAUGGGGAAGAAGUGGGGAAUGAAGAGGAGGAGGAAGAGAAUGAAGGUGAGGAAGGGGAGGAUGGGGAGGAAGGAUUAGGGAAUGAAGAGGAGGAGGAAGGGGACGAGGAGAGGGGGUAGGAGCCAUGGGGAGGGGUGGGGAGGGGAUAGUGGCUUGGGGAGGCAUUGGGGAGGGCCUCAGCGUAGGGUGCGGGGUUGGGGAAGGGGUCACAUGGGGAAGAGAGCCGUCUACGGUAGGUUCCCGGGGUCCCCAAGAGGUGGGAUGAGGUCAGGUCACUCCCCACGCCCUCCUUCCCCCCCACUAGGGAGACUCGAACCCUGCGCCGUCCUCCCCGCCUUCCCCACCACGGGCCAGCCAGCGACAGGGAUUUCACAGCGUCCAAAAGCGACAUCUUGCGCCGGGGCUCGCUAACUCUUGCAUUCUUAAGAGUUUCUCCUAAGAGUUACUCCUAAGUCUCUCGGUUCCUAAAAUCACUCUUAAGUUCACGGGGGUCUCAGGAAUUGCACUUAACUAUAGUUCGUUCACUUCAAAUUGGUCUCAAGUUUUGUUUCGUAAAAGUUCUCCCACUUAAGUUAGGUUCAAAGACUUUAUAUUCUUAAAGUUGUUCUUAAAUUCACUCUCAAGUUCUGUUUGGUCUUAUAAAUUACACAUAACGGAGUUUCUUUAGGAUUUCACAGCGUCCAGGAGCGACAUCUUGCGGUGGGAGUGUCUGGUAACUCUUGCAUUCUUGAGAGUUCCUCCUAAGAGUUCAUCCUAAGUUACUCCUAAGGUGGUUCUGUUCUUAGGAGUGUUCUUACGUAAAAGUCCUUAAGUUAAAAAGUCUCAGUUCUUAGGUUGACACACAAUUUCAUCUUCCUCUCUCCAUAGUAUUUUCUUCUUCCUGUUCCUCUUCGUUCAACUCAUUUAUGUUUCCUGUUCUUCUGUAACUUGUUCAUUCUUAAGAGUUAGUCCUAAGAGUUGGUUUUGUGAGUGAGGUCCUAAAAUUUGCUCAUAAGUUCUCUUUGUUCAACUCAUUUCUGUGUCCCUGUUCUUCUAUACCUCGUUCAUUCUUAAGAGUUGGUUCUGUGAGUGAGGUCCUAAAAGUUGCUCACAAGUCCUUUUUGUUCAACUCAUUUCUGUGUCCCUGUUCUUCUAUACCUCGUUCAUUCUUAAGAGUUGGUUCUGAGUGAGGUCCUAAAAUUUGCUCAUAAGUUCUCUUUGUUCAACUCAUUUCUGUGUCCCUGUUCUUCUAUACUUCGUUCAUUCUCAAGAGUUGGUUCUGUGAGUGAGGUCCUAAAAUUUGCUCAUAAGUUCUCUUUGUUCAACUCAUUUCUGUGUCCCUGUUCUUCUAUACUUCGUUCAUUCUUAAGAGUUGGUUCUGUGAGUGAGGUCCUAAAAUUUGCUCAUAAGUUCUCUUUGUUCAACUCAUUUC